GAAUUGUCCUAUAUUUUGGCCGCAAUCUGGAAGCUUGUACCAAGGAAACAUCAAAAUUGAACAUUUAUCCUCAGAGCCAGAAUAUUUUGCUGGAGUUUUAAUUAGAAAAUUUCGAAUAAAAAAUCCUAAAGGGAAAAGUCGCACAGUGAAGACAUUUCACCUUUAUGGAUGGCGGAAAGAAGAGUUUGUUCCCCCCAACGUCGAUACAAUAGUGUCACUUAUUGCAAAGAUCGACAAGUGGACAAGAAAGAAUACUCCUUCACCAGUUAUUGUCACGUGCUACAAUGGUUGUAGAGCGUCUGGGUUUUACUGUGCUGCUGCUUACAUAGCUGGACAAAUUCAUGACACACGGCAGGCUGACGUGGUGCAGGCCGUACGAACAGUUAGAUUGCACAGACCAUCAUUUAUUCCUACAGUAGAUCAAUAUAGGUGGCUAUAUGAGCUAGCUUGUUUUCUGGUAUCUGAGAAGAUAUUGAAAUAACUAAUUUUGUUGGACUAAAUACUAGCAAAUAGAUGUAAAUCAGCGGCAUUUUGUUUCAUUGUGAAAAACAUCUUCCAGUAUUACGCUAUUAAACCACCGAAAUAUCAAAUUGUUUUCAGCCUCACAUUAUUUUCAAAAUUAUUUUUUACAUUUGUUAGAUUUUAUAAACGUUUAUGUCUAAU
Long non-coding RNA from Uloborus diversus, 663 nucleotides. RefSeq lists it as uncharacterized. The record is from RefSeq and is a predicted model, not a curated record. NCBI's taxonomy places the organism in Eukaryota, Metazoa, Arthropoda, Arachnida, Araneae, Uloboridae. The transcript is spliced from 4 exons.